This 416-nucleotide ribosomal RNA is filed under the name uncultured Treponema sp. RNAcentral's name for it is "bacterial SSU rRNA". It matches the Rfam family "Bacterial small subunit ribosomal RNA", at positions 355 to 762 of the family's 1533-position model. Lineage: Bacteria; Pseudomonadati; Spirochaetota; Spirochaetia; Treponematales; Treponemataceae. The record is from RNAcentral.
CUAAGAAUAUUCCGGCAAUGGACGAAAGUCUGACGGAGCGACGCCGCGUGGAUGAAGAAGGCCGGAAGGUUGUAAAGUUCUUUUAAGCAUGAAGAAGGAUUAUUGCAGGAAAUGGCAGUAAAGUGACGGUAGUGCUUGAAUAAGAGGCGGCUAAUUACGUGCCAGCAGCCGCGGUAACACGUAAGUUGCGAGCGUUGUUCGGAAUUAUUGGGCGUAAAGGGCAUGUAGGCGGUAUUGCAAGCCUGGUGUGAAAGGCAGGGGCUCAACCUCUGGACUGCGCUGGGAACUGCGAUACUAGAGUCGCUGAGGGGCAAUCAGAAUUCCAGGUGUAGGGGUGAAAUCUGUAGAUAUCUGGAAGAAUACCAAUGGCGAAGGCAGGUUGCCAGCAGAUGACUGACGCUGAGGUGCGAAGGUGC